Hyla sarda is the source of this 872-nucleotide long non-coding RNA. RefSeq lists it as uncharacterized. The transcript is spliced from 4 exons. The record is from RefSeq and is a predicted model, not a curated record. NCBI's taxonomy places the organism in Eukaryota, Metazoa, Chordata, Amphibia, Anura, Hylidae.
CUUUUCCUCUGCACAGGUUUUUAUAAAUCUCCCCCAAUAUAUCUGUCAGUCAAUUCACUCAAAAUAAAGCAACAUAAAAGACCUGUGAGAGCAAUCUGGUCCCAAGAAUCCCGGGAAGCAGUGACAAUGCCCAGAUAUGCAUUCUCCAUUCCCAUUACAGUUGGUUGAACAAUCAUCCAUCAUUUCUGUGAAUGAAUAAAAUGGCAUAAAGUAGACUGCGUUAAAGUUUGGAUUCAGCUGUAAAGAAAAACAACAGAUCUAAGAAAACCUAUCCAAAGUCUAUAAACUUGUUGGAGUUUAGCUCAGGAAAAUCACAUCUCAAGGAAGGUAUAUAACUACUACAUAUCCUGAAAUAGCAGCAGCAGUAAACAGAUAGGUGGGGAGGGGUGGGGUCUGUGAGCAGCCCGAAGAGAUCUGAUAUAAUUCUGUAGUUCACAGGAUGUCGGCUGACCCUGCACAUGCCACUUCAUCUGACACGUUAAACCUUGUCAUUUUCUGUUGGUCAGGCUAGUGAUCACAUGUUACAGUAAUAAAACAUAUGAAUGCAGCCGUGCUGGAAUUAAACAAAUUGCACUGUAGGACUAGUAAUGCUGAGCAAUGUAUGGGAAAAAACUGGACUGCUUAUUUUCUACAUGCUUUAAAAUAUACCACUGUGGUAAUGACCCAGUAUAUAAACUUUUUCUCUACUGGUAUAUGCAUAUAGACUGGGGCAAUUUAAAUUAGUAAUAAUCAUCCUUAUAAAUAUAAAAUAAGCCAUGUUCUUUCUUAGCAUAGCACUGACAUUUAUAUUCAGAUAACAUGCUGGAUUUUCACCCGAUUUUUCCUUUUUUUGACUGAAUAUGUCAGAUUUUUACCAAUUAGUAAAGUAGGAA